Molecule: non-coding RNA, 48 nt
Filed under: Schistosoma mansoni
Lineage: Eukaryota; Metazoa; Platyhelminthes; Trematoda; Strigeidida; Schistosomatidae
Source: RNAcentral
AUUCAGCUGACGAGUCCCAAAUAUAAGACGAAACGCGCGUCCUGGGAU